This 216-nucleotide long non-coding RNA is filed under the name Elaeis guineensis (African oil palm). RNAcentral's name for it is "long non-coding RNA (EGUI_LNC050096)". The record is from RNAcentral. Lineage: Eukaryota; Viridiplantae; Streptophyta; Magnoliopsida; Arecales; Arecaceae.
AGGAUAAUUAUAAUUUUUAUUUCAAAAAGAUAUAUGUUCAAUUUAUUUUAAAAAUAAAGUUGCUACACGUGCUUUCUUGAUUGACAGUCUUUAUCAUUUGCAUAUGGAUACGAGUGUCAAUAUUAACGAGCAAACUGAAAAUGCCAUAGGGUCUAAGAGACUUAGAGAUAGGAUUAGCCAAAAGUAUCUGUGGCACCUUAGGUUAGGCUAUAUAGG